This 320-nucleotide ribosomal RNA is filed under the name uncultured bacterium. Its description in RNAcentral is "bacterial SSU rRNA". It matches the Rfam family "Bacterial small subunit ribosomal RNA", at positions 28 to 334 of the family's 1533-position model. The record is from RNAcentral.
GAUGAACGCUAGCGGCAGGCUUAACACAUGCAAGUCGAGGGGCAGCAUGAGACGGAGAUUCGUCGAAGUCUUGAUGGCGACCGGCGCAAGGGUGCGUAACGCGUGAGAAACCUGCCUCUCAGUGGGGGACAACAGUUGGAAACGACUGCUAAUACCGCAUAACGUAUUCGGACCGCGUGAUCUGAAUACCAAAGCUUUAUGUGCUGAGAGAUGGUCUCGCGUCUGAUUAGCUAGAUGGCGGGGUAACGGCCCACCAUGGCGACGAUCAGUAGCCGGUCUGAGAGGAUGAACGGCCACAUUGGGACUGAGAUACGGCCCAG